This is a long non-coding RNA of Chiroxiphia lanceolata (lance-tailed manakin), 1372 nucleotides long. RefSeq lists it as uncharacterized. The transcript is spliced from 3 exons. NCBI's taxonomy places the organism in Eukaryota, Metazoa, Chordata, Aves, Passeriformes, Pipridae. The record is from RefSeq and is a predicted model, not a curated record.
GGGCAGGGUCACCUCCUGUGACCUGCUGGCAGUGCUCCUCGUAAUGCACCCCAGGACACCAUUGGCCUUCCGGGCCACUAGGGCAUACCAAUGGUUGUCUUAAUUCAGCCUCAUGCUUUGAUACCAAUUUGGCUUCAUCAAAUCUUAGUGCAGUCAUUGAAAUAUUGGAUAAAGAAACUGAAACAUCUUGCUUUCAGGAAACCUUUCUCAACCAACACAAGAAAACUACUUAUUGCCCUGGAGACUGAGUUUCAUUAUGGUCAGUGGAGAGAUCUCAUUGUGAACCCUUACAGCUGGUACACCAAAGGGAAGCUGAGUGGAGUGAAUCAUCAUUAAAAACUUCUAUUCACUCAUCUCCAAAUGCCAGUGAGCACCAUCGCAGUAUAUCAGUAUCACACACACCUGUCUGAGAAGACACCGACUGACACUGAAUGUAAAGUAACUUAGCACGAAACUGCGACAGAAUCAUCUCCCCCUUUCUUAACUGCCCUUCAGCAACAAAUCUGGGAACCAAGAUCUCAGAACCGGACUGAGAAAAUCGUAACAGGGUUACAGGGAACGAGAUGAGGGUGACAGGCCAGAUCCUGUCUGAUUGCUGCAAAACGUGGACUGUGUCAAAGUUUUCCUGAGAAAGGAUGUUCUGUGGUUGAUCUUUUUAAGUUUCAAGCCCAAGAAGUAAGAGAGGCCAUGAAACUUGUUGGCCCUGUUAAGGUUUAGGGCUGGAUGUGUCUCAAUGAUCUCAGCCCUGGGGAAGGGUAUCACACCUUGGGUGGAAGGAUUUCCACUGGCAGUGAGCACAGGGAAUGCAGAAUUUAGGGCUCACACAGACAUCUGGCAGAACUCCCAAGAUGAGGAAAGCACUAGUAAAGGCAGCUCAGGACCUGGGCUGAAUCAGCUCCCACUGGAUACAGGCUGAUUCCAGCAGGGGUAGAUCGUGAGCACUGACCCCAGAAACCCCCCAACCCAAAGGAAGAAGAGAAAGACUGAGCAUGGGAUCAAGUAGCAUGAGAAGUAAGAGAGUCAUUAAACAAUGGAAUAUAAAGUAUAAAGAGAGAGUGAUUAGACAUUGGAAUGGGCUGCCCAGAGAGGUGGUGGAGUCACCAUCCCUGGAGGUUUAAGAAGAGGCUGGAUGUGGACUCAGUGCCAUGGUCUGUUGACAAGGUGGUGUUGGGUCAUAGGUUGGACUCAGUGACCUUAGAGGUCUUUUCCAAUCUAACUGAUCCUGUGAUUCUGUAAUUAACAACAGAACUAUGUAACUUGUAGCCAAUGGACAUUAACACCUUUGUUUGCUGAAGUGUAUAAACAGUGACAGCUUUAGACAGUCGGUGUGCUGGAUUUGUGGAAGCGUCCACCUUCCACCCCCUGCAGAAGA